UCGGACAACUCCUCCACCGGUGCGCCUAGGAAGAGGACGCGGCGGGGGAGGGUGGUGGCCACGUCGGGGGAAGGGGACUUCGUCUGCAGGACUUGCGGGCGCGCCUUCGAGACGUUCCAGGCGCUGGGCGGGCACCGGACCAGCCACCUCCGCGGCCGCCAUGGGCUGGAGCUCGGUGUCGGCGUCGCCAGGGCCAUCAGGGAGCGGCAAAGGCGUGAGGACAAGCAGCAACACGAUUGCCACAUCUGCGGGCUGGGCUUCGAGACGGGCCAGGCGCUCGGCGGCCACAUGCGCCGGCACCGCGAGGAGAUGGCGCUCGACCGGUGGGUCGCGCUUUCGGAUCAGGAGGCGGGGCACCAGGCCGCCGCCGCCGACCGGCUGCCGAUCUUGCUCGAGCUGUUCGUCUAGCCUGCUGCUAGCUGGAGUAGAUCUCAAUGCUUGUUAAUUCAGGACUGCUCCAGCUGUUCGUCUAGUCUGCUAGCCUUCUUAGUCCACCUUGUAUAGAGUAUGUUCUUGCUGGUAGCUGGUUAGAGAAUGUUUUUGCAAGUUAGCUGGAUGUUUGCUUUGGAUCUGACAUUGUUUUUAACUGAUGGACUGGAGUGGAGAUUUACAUGCACUUGUAUACAUAUUGCAGAUAAAUUCGUUUGUUCUAAAUGCAAUUGAGAGAUUCUUGCACUCAGAUUCCUCUUAUGUGAAUGUGCUUUCUGUUUUUUGCGGGAACUUCUAUGAAUCGGCUCGACCUCGGAUUCAUUUUCGGCCAAGAAAUCCGGAUUUUGGCCAUCUCGGCCUCGGACGAAACAUAGCUUUCAGCCGAGAAGUGGAUUUUGAUCAAAUUUCCUCCAAUUUUUGGUUAAAUGUUGGUAAAAAUUCUAACCAAUUUUUUUGAAAUAACCAAAAUUUGGCCAUCUCGGUGUAGGACGAAAAGAGUCCCAAACCCAAAGAAGUCCCAAACCAAAAACUCUGGUUCACCCCUAUUGUAUAGAUGACCAGUAGAAAUGACCAUGCGUUGCAUCGGGCAAGAAAAAAAAUACAAAACCUUCUUGUUAUAUCAUUAUGCGGCAUUAAUUGUAAUAAACAUGUAUAAUAAUGUUAAAUGUUUUUUAAAAAAAUAUUAGGUACUGCUUACAUAAAAAUGGAUGAAUUUUUUAUAAUAGUUAUAUUUUUUGUUAAAUUUUUAAAUUUCUUGUAAAAGAUAAAUUGUUAAACAUUUUUUUCAAAAGGAUCUUUUUAUUGUGGGGUAAUAAUGUUGUUUUUUUGAUGGGUAAUGGCAUUUUUAUGUAGAACAUAUUUCCAUAAAUAUUUUUUGAAUCAUAUUUUCUUAUUUUUUUGCACAACUUGCUUCAUGUGCCAUUAUGCAUCAUUUUUAUAUGGAUUUUUAAUAAUUGUUGAUGAUAAGUUAAAUGUUAAAUUAUUUUAAAAAUUGAUGUAUGCAUAAAAAUUGUAAUACUUUCUAGGAAGUAUUGUUUUUAUGAAUUUUUUGCUUUUCUUUGAAAAGGAACUUUUUAAAAUAAUUUUUUUCUUUAACAUUUUAUGAAUUUUGGGCUUGACCCAAACAACUCGCAGUACAAUAACAAUUGACGGUAUUAAAAAAACAUUAUCGUUUGGUACAGAAAAUGCAGCAUCAUCUCUUUCGUCUCUCCCGUUCCCAUUUCAUUUUUCGCAUUGGCUACCUGUUUCCUCUGCAUCGAGGCUACACCAAACCCGCACGGCCCGAGCGAAAAAACAUCACCACACCACGAGCAUUGGCUCGGCUGUCUCCUUGCCCACGAAGUCGCCGCCACUGCCGCCGCCACCACCCACGCUGGCCGCUUCCGACGACCUACGGCUCCGCGCAGCACGCUCCCGAGCUCCCCACGGUCCGCGCGUCCCUCCCCUCCGGCCAAAAUCUUCGCUCCCGUCCUCUACCGCCCGCUCGGAACCACCCUGUGGCUAGGGUUUCGGGCAGUGCUGCACCGGCGCAUCUCCAGCGGCCUUAGGUUAGUCCCUCCGACGCAUCUCCAGCGGCCUUAGGUUAGUCCCUCCUUCCUUCUUGGCUGGGAUCCGCCACCGUGCCUUACCUCUUCGUCGCCCCCCUGUUGCCUUCCUGCUGCUCUCCAACUCCCCCUCUCUCAGUUCGUCUCUCUCUGUUUUCUGCAGGAGCUCCGUGGCGUCGAGUCUCUCCGACGUUUGCUCACCAGCAGCGGACGGACCUCGCCGGCGACGUGCAGGUCAUAUGCCAUGGUAAUGAACUUCCUGCAGUUCAGUUGCGUGAUUUUGCCUAUAUGGUAUUUUCAUAAAUUCAUAAAUAAGUCAAAAGGUAUUAGAAUCUAGGUCUUUAUUGUGAGAUGCAACUAAAAGAGCUUUUACUGUAGGCUACUACAAUUAUUUUCUGUAUUCCUCUGCUUGCCAAGUUAUUAAGCGUAGAGAAACGUAUGCACUAAUCAGGCUAGAGAGACUUACACACUACAAAAAUAUUUUUCUGCUCCUACUAGUUACACCGUUGCUCUCCUCUGUGUUCAUGUAACUCCACAUAUCUUUCUGCUUCACAAGUUAUUGUGCACCUUUAGCUGUAUAACUUACACACAAGGGCCGGGUGAUUUCGCCACAGGCUCUAGCUAGCAGCCACAAGUCCAGGAGCAAGCAGCAAGAAGCGAUAGCCACAAGUCCAGGAGCUAGCUAGCGAUCCGGGUGUUUUCGCGGCCACCACAAGAGCAAGAAGCACAAGUCCAGGAGCCAUUGCGCCAUGGUAGGACCUCGAGCUCCUGGCCCGCUUCCAUGUAACCUUCAUGACCUCGCCAAGCCUCGAUCUAGCUGGCCACCGACCGGAUCCGCCGGAUCCCACCCUCCCCGACUCGUUCCCGGCUUUCCCUUCGCGUGACAUCGUCGUUCAUCACCAACUUGUUGCCGCUGCUGCUCCUAUUUGUCAGAGAUCGAGGAGGACCUUGCUGCGUUGACCACGCCCCCGUCGUCUGUUUCCUCCCACUCGAUCUGCCCACAUGGACCCAACCUGUUGCCAGCCCGCGAUCGAGCCGAGCAAGCUAGCCCACGCACGCACCUCACCUCGCCGCUGCACCGCCCCUCACCUCGCUGCUGCAGAGUCUGGAUACAGUAGACUAAAUACAGUAAAAUACAGAAGAAACUCAGAUCACUGUAUUUGUUCCUCGCAAUGGACCUCAAUAACAUGGUCGGAAUAAUCCAUUUUUUCCGCUGAUUUACAGCACAAGAUCCUUCAUUAUUGACAAAUGAGUUCUGCAGACCGGCUAGCACAGAAUCAAAAUUACUUUCUUCAGGUAUACUAUCGUGACCAGAUAGAUGUUGACGCCGCAGCAGGUGACUGCAUCCAUUGUUGUCCCAUGGAGUCGUCUCCAUGUUCAGCAAAAUUUUCAUUAACAGUGUGAAAUUGUCUAGAUUCUGGAAUGGUUCCAUUAUCCACUUUCGGGGUAAUUAAAUCAGUGUUUGCAUUAUAAAAUACCCGAUGUUGCUCUGCAAAAUGAUUUUAUCAACACAAAGAAGUUUUUUGAGAUGAAAAUAGGAAGUAAUGAGAAAAGAAGAAAUUUGUAUGACAUUUAGUGGACCAGAUGAGUGCAGAAAUCUUACCAUGAAUAUCUGAAUCGUCAUUCGUGUUUGCAUCAUUGUCAUCUGCAACACCAUUCGGGAGGACAUUACGGAUAACAUAAUCUGCUGGCAGCUUUCUCCUCCCCCAACUCAUACCGCUGGAACCAAGGCUAUAGGCGGGGACGAACGCAUCAGGGUGCUCUUCCAGGCGGCGGCGAGGAGGCUGGGGGUGACCAAGAUGGAAGGAGGGACGUCGUGGGUUGUGAGCGGGCGGUAGAGGACUGGAGCGGGCAGCUGGCCGGAGGGGAGGGAGGCGAGGACCGUGGGGAGCUCGGUGGCGUGCUGCGUGGUGCCGGAGGUCGGGUGGUGGCGGCGGCAACUUUGUGGGCGAGAGGGAGAGGAGGCGAUCCCGAACGAAACUUGACUACGUCUCGACAUUGACAAUACAAUGAUUCGAUUGCCCGUCGGAGUUGAGGACAAGGGCGCGGAUCAUUGCAGAGGAACGUGGGGACAGAGUGGAACGUCGAGGCAAAGCGUGAUCUUCAACUUGUUGGCGCCAUCUUUUGAUAGGAAGAAGAGGGAAGAGGUUCAGUUUGUUAAUCAACAGCUCCCUUUUCGUAGUAGUAACAAUCAUCUACAAUUAUGGGCAACAAAUUUUCGCCGAGCUUCCCAUUUCCGCCUCCAUUCUAUGUAAAUAAUUAAGGUACUUAUUAGCUUUUAUUGUUGCCCUAACUUUAGCCACAUCAAUUGAAUAUUGUUGUAUUUUUGUUCCAUCAACCUGAAAAGCAACAUAAACAUAAUAUCAAGAGAAAUCCGCUCAGGUUUUCUAUAUAUACAAAUAUCAUGAAAGAGAGACUACUUCGAUACAUUUCAAUUUUCUCUACAAAUAACACCUUUGUACUUUAGUGAUCUAUAAAAUGUCUAAUACUAGUUUAUAGAGGAAGUACUUAAUACGGUCAAUAAGAUUAAGUUAUGUAACUUGAAAAUUAUUACCAUGAAAGCCUCUUUCAAGAGAAGAGAGAGAGAGAUCAUUCCAUAUGUCGUAACGACAGUUGACCUACCAUUAUUUUCUCUCUAUAUAGAAAUAUGGAGUACUCCCUCAGUUCCUAAAUAUAAGUUUUUUUAAAAGAUUUCACUAGGAGUCUAUAUACAGAGCAAAAUGAGUGAAUCUACACUUUAUAGUAUGCCUAUAUGCAUCCGUAUGUAAUGUGGAACCUCUAGAAAGACUUAUAGAAAUUACACCAAGGUCCCUUGGGAACUGGCCAAUUCCAUCAUCCUGAGGAGGCCUUGGCGUGUUGCUGCCGCUACUCAAUAGCCAUCGCUGCAUGGGUCUGUCACUACCUAGAUGAUGUGGCAAUUAGGAAGUCACUGUACCUAGGCCCCUGGAUGACCUAUACCCUUGAAGCCAGGUCAUGAUCGUCGGAAAGAGAAUAUAUCUCGAAGCCGAUGCACUGGAUCCCACAAUGAUGACGAGCAUCGCUGCGACGAGGAUGGUGGCAAAGGACAGAACUCCAUUACACAACUAUCGUUCUUGCCUCAACGUCAGCACCUGGAACCACCAAACGACCGCCCCUGUAGAACGACGACCACAUCAAACUUGCACUCUUCCACGCCAUUUGCAAAAGCUACCAACUUGGUGGAUGAGAAGACGAGGAACUUUAUUUCACUUGGCGACAUCGUCCACCCCCCCCCCCCUCCACCGCGCCACCCAUCCGAUCCGACCCAACAAUCUAGAGGCACAACCUUCUAGAACUCAUCAACGGGAGAGAUCAAGGAGAACAUGCAUCAAGCAGGUCACCGCCUUGACGCGAGAAGAACCAUAGGAUCGCCUCCUUAUAAAAGCAAAUUUAGCAGUUCCCAUGCCGCCGAUAAGAUUAGCGAAGAGAAGGCGACCACGACGUCGCACACUCGCACAUACCCAGAACGCCUAGAUCAGACCCAGAUGCCCGAUUCGAACCCGUCGUAGCUGCAAUGUCGAUGCACAGAUGUCGAGCCGCACGCCUGUGCCUCACCGCAUUGGCUCGUGACAUGACCCCGACCACUAGGGCCGCGGCAUCUUGCGUCUCAAUCUCCCGGAAGCAACCAAAGGCAUCGGAGAGGUUCAUCCACGACCUAGAUUUUUUGUGAGGAACCCCUGAAGCUAACGAACAAUGCAUGCUCUGCCAGAUCCUCGCCACCUGAAAGAUUGCCGCGAGUAUACCAACGCUGGGCGUCGCUCUAGUUCCCGCGCGUCCACGAACCACCGUCAUCACCCCAACAGCUCCCAUAGUCACCUACCAUCCGCCCCAGACUACCUUUGGUAGCUUGUCCCACCGUCCUGGUGAGGGCCGACGGUAGUGUCGACGAGGGGAGCCAGGGAUGGGGGAGGAGGCUGGCGGUGCGAGGUGUUGCCUUGGGGAUCGACACGGGAGGGGUCAUGGGAGAGCAUCACAUUUGGGAACCACUCUGGAUCUACAUAGAGUAUGGGUUUUCUGUUAAGAAUGCUUAUGCACUAUCUAUUUGUUACAUUUUUGUUUUGUGAAACAAUUGCUCAAACUCGUAAACUUUCAGCAAAAGCAGAAAUCCUGUAAACUAAUAGAAAUUACACCAAGGUCCCUUGGGAACUGGCCAAUUCCAUCAUCCUGAGGAGGCCUUGGCGUGUCGCUGCCGCUACUCAAUAGCCAUCGCUGCAUGGGUCUGUCACUACUUAGAUGAUGUGGCAAUUAGGAAGUCACUGUACCUAGGCCCCUGGAUGACCUAUACCCUUGAAGCCGGGUCAUGAUCGUCGGAAAGAGAAUAUAUCUCGAAGCCGAUGCACUGGAUCCCAUAAUGAUGACGAGCAUCGCUGCAACGAGGAUGGUGGCAAAGGACAGAACUCCAUUACACAACUAUCGUUCUUGCCUCAACGUCAGCACCUGGAAUUUAUAUACGGAGUCUAUAUACGGAGCAAGAUGAGUGAAUCUACACUUUAUAGUAUGUCCAUAUGCAUCCGUAUGUAGUGUGGAAUCUCUAGAAAGACUUAUAUUUAGGUACGGAGGGGGUACUUGUGAAGCACGCACUUACAGUAGUGUAUACGUAAUUACGUAGCCUUCACAAGUCUGAAAUACCCUGCUCCGUCAAAGAUAUUUUCUAAGGCUCUGGAACAUUCCAGACCCUUCCGAUCCUCACGCUCGCGCUUGCGCUUGCGCUUGCGCCGCCGUCCAAACCAGGGUCUGGACCAAAUUAUUCGCUCCGGUUAGCCGCCGAAUUGAUCCCGCACACCGUCCGGCGACCAAGCAGCGGCGAGCCGCCACGCGUCUUGUGGCGUGACAGGUGACGCAUUUCCGCACCACACGUUUCGUCUCCGGUCGGCCGCGCUAUGCACGACGGAAAUAUCCCAGCUAUCUGCCAAACUAAUACUCUAUCGAGCUCGAUCCAAUCCGUCACGUCGUGAACGUCGCGGUGGCUUCCAGCGACUGGUCCACAGACGCUAAAGGUAGGCCAACCCACACCAACUGGCCACACACGUAAGCACCAUCCGCAGCAACACGCACGCCACCUCAUCCUGACUGGCUGCCCAACCUAUAUAUUCUCCCCCGCCGAUCCAUCCAUCCAUUCUUCCUCCUACCGAGCUCCCAGAGAACAUACUAUCAAGAGAGCAUCAAUCAAAGUCAGCAACAAAUCCAUCUCCAUGGGAGCGGGCAUGGUGUCGCUGGCGCUGUCCCUCAGCACGGACUCCUCGGCGUCCACCACGACGUCGGACAACUCCUCCACCGGUGCGCCGGCGACGACGGCGGCAAGGAAUAAGGUGCGGCGUGGGAGAGUGGUGGCGACGUCGGGGGAGGGAGAGUUCGUGUGCAGGACGUGCGGCCGCGCCUUCGAGACGUUCCAGGCGCUGGGCGGGCACCGGACCAGCCACCUCCGCGGCCGCCAUGGGCUGGAGCUCGGCGUCGGCGUCGCCAGGGCCAUCAAGGAGAGGAAGCGGCAAGAGGACAUGGAGCAGCACGAUUGCCACAUCUGCGGGCUGGGCUUCGAGACGGGCCAGGCGCUCGGCGGCCACAUGCGGCGGCACCGCGAGGAGAUGGCGCUCGACCGGUGGGUCGCGCUGUCGGAUCAGGAGGCAGGGCACCAGGCCGCCGCGGCCGACC
RNAcentral lists this long non-coding RNA (7640 nucleotides) under Hordeum vulgare. RNAcentral describes it as "long non-coding RNA (HVUL_LNC014238)". The record is from RNAcentral. Lineage: Eukaryota; Viridiplantae; Streptophyta; Magnoliopsida; Poales; Poaceae.